UAAGGAAUAUUGCUCAAUGGGAGAAAUCCUGAAGCAGCAACGCCGCGUGGAGGAUGAAGGGUCUAUGACUUGUAAACUCCUGUAAAGAAGGAAAAAAUUCCCAUUUGAUGGGAGAUGAUGGUACUUCUGGAGUAAGCCCCGGCUAACUACGUGCCAGCAGCCGCGGUAAUACGUAGGGGGCAAGCGUUAUCCGGAUUUAUUGGGUUUAAAGGGUCCGUAGGCGGACUUAUAAGUCAGUGGUGAAAGCCUGUCGCUUAACGAUAGAACUGCCAUUGAUACUGUAAGUCUUGGGUAUAUUUGAGGUAGCUGGAAUAAGUAGUGUAGCGGUGAAAUGCAUAGAUAUUACUUAGAACACCAAUUACGAAGGCAGGUUACCAAGAUAUAACUGACGCUGAGGGACGAAAGCGUGGGGAGCGAACA
RNAcentral lists this ribosomal RNA (420 nucleotides) under uncultured bacterium. RNAcentral's name for it is "bacterial SSU rRNA". It matches the Rfam family "Bacterial small subunit ribosomal RNA", at positions 355 to 774 of the family's 1533-position model. The record is from RNAcentral.